UACAGAGGGGGCAAGCGUUGUUCGGAAUUACUGGGCGUAAAGGGCGCGUAGGCGGCCUGCUAAGUCGAACGUGAAAUCCCCGGGCUCAACCCGGGAACUGCGUCCGAUACUGACAGGCUCGAAUCCGGGAGAGGGAUGUGGAAUUCCAGGUGUAGCGGUGAAAUGCGUAGAUAUCGGGAGGAACACCAGUGGCGAAGGCGGCUCUCUGGGCCCUACCUGACGCUGAGACGCGAAAGCGUGGGGAGCGAACCGG
This 253-nucleotide ribosomal RNA is filed under the name uncultured bacterium. RNAcentral describes it as "partial 16S ribosomal RNA". It matches the Rfam family "Bacterial small subunit ribosomal RNA", at positions 524 to 776 of the family's 1533-position model. The record is from RNAcentral.